AUGCACAUAACUCACCACACCACAGGUCCAGCGACCAACACCACCGCCGAUCCAGCAACUCUUUCCGAUGAACACAACAACUCAACAUACAGCCAGAACCUCCACCGCGUAGAGCAUCUCCGACACCUUAAAUGCCAUGUUUCAUCCACUGUUUGGGUGCCCUUUGAAAUUGGAAAGAAGUUUUAA
Vicia faba (fava bean) is the source of this 186-nucleotide non-coding RNA. Lineage: Eukaryota; Viridiplantae; Streptophyta; Magnoliopsida; Fabales; Fabaceae. The record is from the annotation of a GenBank genome assembly.